RNAcentral lists this ribosomal RNA (252 nucleotides) under uncultured Bacteroidales bacterium. Its description in RNAcentral is "partial 16S ribosomal RNA". It matches the Rfam family "Bacterial small subunit ribosomal RNA", at positions 524 to 776 of the family's 1533-position model. Lineage: Bacteria; Pseudomonadati; Bacteroidota; Bacteroidia; Bacteroidales. The record is from RNAcentral.
UACGUAGGUGGCGAGCGUUAUCCGGAUUUAUUGGGUUUAAAGGGUGCGUAGGCGGACUGUUAAGUCAGCGGUAAAAGCCCGGGGCUCAACCCCGGCGAGCCGUUGAAACUGGCUGUCUUGAGAUGUCGAGAGGUAUGCGGAAUGCGCAGUGUAGCGGUGAAAUGCUUAGAUAUUGCGCAGAACUCCGAUUGCGAAGGCAGCAUGCCGGUGCACAACUGACGCUCAGGCACGAAAGCGUGGGUAUCGAACAGG